GAGCGACAGAGCCCUAGACGUAGGUUCCUUGUAUCUCUUUGAAGUUUGAUGCUUAAAACAGAGAUAAAGAUUGAAUCAUCUGGUGUGAUGGAUAAAUUACAGAAAGAGAAGGGCUGUAAACCAACAAGAUUCUCAUCGUCCACUUCCUCUGCUCAUGCUUCAUCUUAAUAAUAAUGUAUAAACAGGACGAUUAUGUCGGCACUAUCAUCAUCGCAUGAAAAAAAAGAUUGAUAUUACACUACAUGGGGAUUGAAUUAGAAUUUCCUUGUUUAUAAAAGAAAAUGGCUACGUCAUCUGAGCUCAUGUGUUACUUUUGUCCUGCCCCGUUCAAUCAAUUUCUAAGAUAAAAGAUAACCCAUUUGACCUAACCAAACUGUGUUUUGCAGGCUGUGUAUUGCUUGUCAGCUGUUUCUAUGGUGUUGCUUGGUUUCAGGCGUUAUGUUCUUUGCAUAUAGUAACUUUACUUCAGUAUUGUGCAGAAUGUAGUAAACCUGGUAACUUUACUCUUUUAAUGUUGUAUGAUAAUUGAUGCCUAAAUGUACAAUGUUGGGCGUUUGUAGGGUAUUCGCUUACUCUGAUGUUACUCCUUUAAUCUAGAAGAUAUCUUAGACGAGUUGAAGAUAUAGUCCCACAAACUAUUAGUUCUCAGCUAGCAACAAAAACUUCAGUUACUGUACCUUUUGAAGGCAAAAUUUGUUUUGAAACUAUUGCUUUGGCUAGAUGCUUGGGUUGGAUAACGGGUCAAAACAGGUUCUGUUUUGAGACGGGCUGUAUUGGGUUGGGAUGAUCCUCGAAUCACCUUUUGUGUUCAUUUUUUAUUCAAGUAAAGAAUGGUUUACUAAAUCCCAUAACACUAUUUUUACAAUAAAAUUUAUAUACUUUAACAAAAUGAAAUAUGAUUUCAAGUGUAUGCACUAAAAAUAGAAUUGGAGUGGCUCUCAACCCUUUAGACCUGAUAAACUUUUUUGACCCAUUCACCGUUCAGCUAAUGCUUUUUGUGUUUUAGGGUUAUCUCGCUUUGUGUUUUAGGGUUUCUCGCUGCCAUAUAUGAGAUGAGUACUGGGUUCAUCAGUCGAUAUCAAUAGAGAUGAGUACUGGAUAAAAAAGCAAUUUAUUUCUAAUGGGCUCAGGGAACGGGAACCGGCCUGCAGCUAGAAUCACGAUUGAAGACGACCAUUGUGUACUACUUGAUGUAUAUGACAUUGACCAUCUCCUACAAUCAACUCGGCCACAAGAUGGCGAUUCCCAGGCAAGGCAGAGGUGACAGAUUCUUCUAGAAGGCUUGGCAGCAGCCCUUCAGUUAUUCAUUUACUUUAGUGUAUGAGGACAAUGAAUGAGACAUGAUGCUUGUUGUUGGGGAUGUCCCGUGGUGGUGCCAAAGAAUUAAGACGGGAACAAUAUUGGACAAGGCAUCAUUCAGCACAUGUGCUAGUUGUGUCAACUGUUGGAUACACGAAUGUUGGAAAGAUUACACUUUUAAAUCAGUUAACAUGUAACAUGGGCUGAUGUUCUUUCUGAGUUGCUGGUUGUUUGCAACACUUGAUCCAACUACAAGGAGGGUACAUGCUGGUAAUUUCUUUGAUGAAGAAAGAAGUUUCUGCUUACGGAUAUUGUUGGAUUUCUUCGUUUGAGAUAAGAUUGCAAUGUUUUUUCUUUGUUUGAAUUCAGUAAUUACAGUCAUUACUUAUUUCAGCAUCCCAGCCAAUAUCAAAACUUUUAGCUGACCCGUUACGAAAACUAUUAACCAAAAGUGGGCUUCAUUGUGGAAAAACUAGAAAAAAAGAAACCUUCGAUACGUGGUGGACAAUGGUGCGGGUGUGUUCCACUUGAAGCCCAAAAGAAUACCAACUCAAACGAGCUCAGGAUUACGAUAUACAGUUAACUUUAUUUGUGUUAUUUGAUAGAUCAGAGUGAUUGUUUGUAGAAUGGAUUUUUGAUCAAGGAUGAUUAUUUUUGAUAUAAUGUUUGAAGUGUCAAUGCAUGUAUCUAUGGUAGUUAUGUGGUUUUACAUGGAAUUUUUUUUCUGUUCUCAGGUUAUGGGCAUGCUUGACCCAAGUCAUUGCCUCAUUGGGAUGUGCGGAAUUCAUUUGGCGAGUGGUAAGAUGACACAUUGACAACCGAGAUGUAUAAAAAAGUUAUAUAAUCGCCUUUACGUAUCUACUCAUGGUUUUAAAAGGCGCGACAUGUACUCCUAGGUCAAAAUUAGAAUCUGUAGGAGGCUGAUACGUAAAAACAACAACCAAAGGGAUGAAAAAAUAAUGAAAGGUUUACUUGAUAAUAUACAAUCUUAACGGUUUGUGCGAACAAAAUAAAAGAUAUUCCUUGCUUAAUGUGCCCGACAAAACCUCAAGGAUCCAUGGCCAUGAUGGUGAAGCUAAGCAUUCCACUACUAGAAGAUAUCAAUGACGACAUCGAUUUCUUUUUCAAGCCACCUAAAAAAGAAUUCGUGAUCCUUCUUCCUGAUCAUCCUUCAAAUACUCCUCAGAGAAGGCUACCAACGAAAUUGUAGAAGAGACGACUCCAUCCACCAGCGAAUCCAGUAUCAAGGGCAGUGGGAGCGGCAACAAACUUACUAUUGCAACGGAUGAUAACCUAGAAUUUGAUGUUCAUGAGGAAUAUUCAGAUAGUUUUCUGCGCUGGAUAAACAAUGGAGAGACGUUAUGCCACUAAUGCGUCCACAUUAUGAAAUGAGCUGUUUGAAACGGGUCGUGUUAGUCGAGCUAAAAUCAGUCAUUUUCAUGUUCGGGUAGCGUCAAGAAUUGCCGUCCCUUGCGUUAAUUACCUUUUGUACCUAUUUUGAAAAUGGUCUGUUUAAGGUGAUUGUCGAUUAACAUGUCUAAGCUGUGCACAACCGUUCUGGUCAUUACCUGUAUUUUUUUAGAAUUUAAGUUCGCGUCAGGGUUUGGGUCAUAUUGUUCUUAAAAGUUGUAAUGAUUUACAUGUUAAUACUAUAAAUUUGUGUUUUAAGCUGAGCCACUUGCCUGCAAAUGCGUCAAGGGAAACUAUUGGUCGUGCGAGACAUUUGUUCAGGGUAAUAGGGAACAGAGGUUGAACCUGUUGUUUGACCCAACAAAGGACUUCCAUACUUACUCUAUUCUAUGGAACCAGCGUCAAGUUGUCUCGAUUUGGAACGCGGACGACUGGGCCACACAAGGGAUGCGAUUGUCCCAUGACAACUGCAGAUUCCGAUAAUGCAAAGCGAUGUGCCAACAGCGGUGGUUGGUGGGAUCAACCAGUGUUGUCCGAGUAAAUUGUGCAUCAAAGCCACCAAUUGAUUUGGGUGCGAGCAAACCAUAUGAUUUAUGACUACUAUAGUGACACCGGUCGUUUGAAAUAGACAGGUGCGAGUGUCCCGUGACGACUGCAGGUUCCGAUAAUGCAAAGCGAUGUGCCAACAGCGGUGGUUGGUGGGAGCAACCAGUGUUGUCAGAAUUAAAAUUUGCAUCAAAGCCACCAGUUGAUUUGGGUGCGCGCAAACCAUAUGAUUUAUGACUACUGCAGUGACACCGGUCGGUUUCCAUCGGUGCCAGUGGAACGCGUACACCAUCGUCAUUAAUUGGUUGUUUGUGGUGUGGAUUGGGAAUCAAAUGUUUGUGUAAAAAUUAAUUAAAAAGCAUGUGGAAAAUCAACGUAAGCUUCAUGUUGAACAUGUCACACCCCCAAAAUCCACACGCGGAGUACCACCGCUUGGAGGCGUGACGU
Long non-coding RNA from Helianthus annuus (common sunflower), 3702 nucleotides. RefSeq lists it as uncharacterized. The transcript is spliced from 11 exons. NCBI's taxonomy places the organism in Eukaryota, Viridiplantae, Streptophyta, Magnoliopsida, Asterales, Asteraceae. The record is from RefSeq and is a predicted model, not a curated record.